GAUGAACGCUGGCAGCGUGCCUAAUACAUGCAAGUCGAGCGAACGGACGAGAAGCUUGCUUUUCUGAUGUUAGCGGCGGACGGGUGAGUAACACGUGGAUAACCUACCUAUAAGACUGGGAUAACUUCGGGAAACCGGAGCUAAUACCGGAUAAUAUUUUGAACCGCAUGGUUCAAAAGUGAAAGACGGUCUUGCUGUCACUUAUAGAUGGAUCCGCGCUGCAUUAGCUAGUUGGUAAGGUAACGGCUUACCAAGGCAACGAUGCAUAGCCGACCUGAGAGGGUGAUCGGCCACACUGGAACUGAGACACGGUCCAGACUCCUACGGGAGGCAGCAGUAGGGAAUCUUCCGCAAUGGGCGAAAGCCUGACGGAGCAACGCCGCGUGAGUGAUGAAGGUCUUCGGAUCGUAAAACUCUGUUAUUAGGGAAGAACAUAUGUGUAAGUAACUGUGCACAUCUGGACGGUACCUAAGCAGAAAGCCACGGCUAACUACGU
RNAcentral lists this ribosomal RNA (496 nucleotides) under uncultured bacterium. RNAcentral describes it as "partial 16S ribosomal RNA". It matches the Rfam family "Bacterial small subunit ribosomal RNA", at positions 28 to 506 of the family's 1533-position model. The record is from RNAcentral.